UUAUUCUAUACAAAAGAUCGUCGAUUAUUAAACAUCUUUCAACAAUGGAUACUUGAAAAAUACAACACGUAUUAUAUUAAUAGCAAAACAUAUUCUGCCCGAACUCGAUACUCGGUUCUCGCGAUUAAGAAGUGAAAAGUAUCCAACGAGAAAAAUUAUCACCGCAAAAAACAAAACGCUCUUUUUAUUUUCGCGCAACAAAAAUUGUAUGAUUUCGCAAAUUUAUGAAAAGCAUCCUGCACGUAUAUCGUACUUUACACGCUUUUUUUUUUUCUUUUAAAUUCGCACUAUCUUUUCACACAAUUGAUCCAUUUUUUUUUGCACCUCACUUAAUAAAUAAUAAAAUAAUCAGGCUCGUUCGAUCAACACGAAAUAUUAGAGAGAAAAUUAUAUGAGAUUUUUGCAAACGAAUUCUAUUUAGAUAUGUUUAAUUCUUAUUUAAUGAAUUAAAGUAAAAUAAAAAAAAUUAAAUAUAAUAAUGUUCCUUGAAAAUUAAAAUUAAUGACUUAAAGAGUUUAUUUUGAGUCAUUUUGUUAUUUUUUAUAAAUAUAUAUAUAUUUUUUGAAACAUAUUGCUAGUUAGUUGACCAUCCUUAUCUCUAUUUUUAUAAGUACAAUGCAAUAUAAUUUUUUCAAAUAAUUUUAUUUUAAUUAUUUUUAUGAUGUAAUGUCGUUUAACGAUAUAAAUAAUAUAUAAUUUUAGGUAAAAAAUAAUUUCUGAGGUAUGUAAGGAUAAAUUAUAAAUGACUCAUGAUUAGCUGCUCAAUUGGUUAGCCGUCUGAAGGUUAAGUUAAAUAUCUACCGAUUGCAAAACAACUAUGUAGGUAUAAAUUUAGUUUUUUAGCUUUUACAGAGUAAAAAAUGUAAUUUAUGUGAUUUAUGCAAUCAAUCUGAUGAUUCAUCAUGUUUCUAUUAAACGACUGUCAUCUUAAAAUUUUUAAGCCAAGCAUGAUAAUGUUCGUUAAACUCGUUCAACGAGCUUCGUUUCCUCGGAGUUACAUGAAACUGCUUUUAGACAUAACGAGGCGCACCGGUGCACUCGUGACCCUGAUUGACGAAACCGUUCCCAGAAAGCCAGCAAGCCAACGAUGCCGUCGCUUUUAUCUAUUUUUAUCUAUCACGGUACUUCUUGGAAUUUCGCAUUCGAUACUUUACAGAAGGAAAACAUACUUAGAAUCACGAUUGCAAUCUAUCUUUUGUUAGAAUUUGCUUGUAGGAAUCAGAAAAGGAAUCAGAAAAGGUAGCAAAGGUCUUUAUAAAAGAUUUCGAAGCAAUACUUUUACUAUCAUCGAUGAUAUAGCAUCGAACCAAAACAUGGUUUCCUCGAUAAAUUAACUAUUAACUAACUAUUAAUCCCUAAUACUACUCCACAUAAAAUAAAAUUCUCUAGAACAGUAAAUUAUGUUACUUCAAAUACGUAAUUACAUUAAUCAAAAAUUAAAAAAUCAAUCUAUUUUUUUCAAUCGUGUUUGACUUUCUAUCUCUAAUUUAAAUGCUUUUCAUAUCAAAAUGAAAACCAAUAUAGAAUUACUAUUUAUCCGAUCAAUAGAUACAAGUUAAAAAUCAAUUCACGUUCCCAUGAAAGUAUUUAACGAUACCUAAAGGAAGAUAAAGCGUGAGUAAAAUCAAAUGUAACUUCGAAUCGAUCGGUAAAACACGAAAAUUCUGAUAGAAUGGACAAUGGUAACGGUAUAUUUGUGGCGCGAACAACAUUGCUGUCGAUAUGUGGAAAAAAAUCGGAAAAAACGAUUCGACACGAUCCGCGAGUCGACGUUCGUGUACGGAACUCGCGACGAAGCCGCUCGCAGCGUGUUUCAAGGCUGAACCGCCUCUUCUCUACACUCUCUUCGACCCCUCCAAAGACGAAUCAUCUCCUUUCCCCUAACUUCACGUUCGAUUAUCGUUCUCUUUCUCUUUCUUUCAAUCUAUCGGUUGGUUUGCGUAUCGUUUGUCUCACUUCGUUUCCUCCGUUCGUUCUUUCUCGUUCAUAUUCGUCUGUAUUCGUUGGUCGCGCCACGGCAGUGCUAUCCUAUCGCAUGACUCUGCAGCGUUACGCAACUAACAGAAGGCUAGGUCAGCAGAUUCGCAACGAUUAAACUUAUGCAGUGUGACGACCGAGCCGUUCGACCUACUUCGUAAAA
This is a long non-coding RNA of Apis florea (little honeybee), 2140 nucleotides long. The record is from RefSeq and is a predicted model, not a curated record. Lineage: Eukaryota; Metazoa; Arthropoda; Insecta; Hymenoptera; Apidae.